This 497-nucleotide ribosomal RNA is filed under the name uncultured bacterium. Its description in RNAcentral is "partial 16S ribosomal RNA". It matches the Rfam family "Bacterial small subunit ribosomal RNA", at positions 28 to 507 of the family's 1533-position model. The record is from RNAcentral.
GAUGAACGCUGGCGGCGUGCCUAAUACAUGCAAGUCGAGCGAACGGACGAGAAGCUUGCUUCUCUGAUGUUAGCGGCGGACGGGUGAGUAACACGUGGAUAACCUACCUAUAAGACUGGGAUAACUUCGGGAAACCGGAGCUAAUACCGGAUGAUAUUUUGAACCGCAUGGUUCAAAAGUGAAAGACGGUCUUGCUGUCACUUAUAGAUGGAUCCGCGCUGCAUUAGCUAGUUGGUAAGGUAACGGCUUACCAAGGCAACGAUGCAUAGCCGACCUGAGAGGAUGAUCGGCCACACUGGAACUGAGACACGGUCCAGACUCCUACGGGAGGCAGCAUUAGGGAAUCUUCCGCAAUGGGCGAAAGCCUGACGGAGCAACGCCGCGUGAGUGAUGAAGGUCUUCGGAUCGUAAAACUCUGUUAUUAGGGAAGAACAUAUGUGUAAGUAACUGUGCACAUCUUGACGGUACCUAAUCAGAAAGCCACGGCUAACUACGUG